Molecule: non-coding RNA, 196 nt
Filed under: Halobacteriovorax marinus
Lineage: Bacteria; Pseudomonadati; Bdellovibrionota; Bacteriovoracia; Bacteriovoracales; Halobacteriovoraceae
Description: 6S RNA
Rfam family: 6S / SsrS RNA
About the family: E. coli 6S RNA was the first non coding RNA to be sequenced, but its function was unknown until recently. It consists of 184 nucleotides that fold into an extended hairpin structure with a large single-stranded internal bulge.
Source: RNAcentral
UAUAGGGUCUUGUAGUUGGCAGUAAUAGUUUUUUCGCCCUACAAUUUCUUUCAAGGAGGCGGUCCCUGAUUACGGUGAGCAAGCUUGCACAGAGUCUUUUGAUUUUGUAAGCGAGAAGCCUAAAGUGAUUAAUUACUGCAUCCACCUGUCUAAUGGCGGGCGGAAGACUCCACGCUGCUAGCUCAAGGCCCUACUU